Molecule: long non-coding RNA, 641 nt
Filed under: Homo sapiens (human)
Lineage: Eukaryota; Metazoa; Chordata; Mammalia; Primates; Hominidae
Description: RAB3C antisense RNA 1 (RAB3C-AS1)
Source: RNAcentral
UGGAAUAUAAGGAGAUUUGACCUGUGCUGCUGUGAUUAACAGACAUCAGAGGCAUGGUACCAUGAGGACAGAGACCUCAACUGUGUGUUCAUCAUUAAGUCUCCAGAAUUCAGCAAAAUAUAUGGCACAUAGAAGGAAGAAAAACAACAGUAACUAGAUGAAGCAAGGACCACCCUUCUGGACAACAAAGGGAGAGGAAUGAAAGUCUGACCUAGGAAAAGACGGAGUCUCGCUGUGUUGUCCAGGAUGGAGUGCAGUGGUGCUUUCUCAGCUCACUGCAACCUCUGCCUCCCAGUUCAAGCAAUUCUUCUGACUCAGCCUCCUGAGUAGCUGGGAUUACAGGCACCUGCUACCACACCAUGCUAAUUUUUGUAUUUUUAGUAGAGACGGGGUUUCUCCAUGUUGGCCUGGCUGGUCUCGAACUCCUGACCUCAGGUGAUCCACCUGCCUCGGCCUCUCAAAAUGCUAGGAUUACAGGUGUGAGCCACCACACCUGGCCAACUUAUCCUUUUUUUAACAUCUAGUUUUCUGUGAGUGUUUUCUAAUGUGCACUGUAGACGGACAUAGUGGUAUGUGAUUACUAUUCAUAGAUAAAUAAUAAUUUGUUUAUUAUUGUGUAAUAAACAUUGUGUGAUAAAGAA